This is a long non-coding RNA of Oncorhynchus keta (chum salmon), 2841 nucleotides long. RefSeq lists it as uncharacterized. The transcript is spliced from 7 exons. The record is from RefSeq and is a predicted model, not a curated record. NCBI's taxonomy places the organism in Eukaryota, Metazoa, Chordata, Actinopteri, Salmoniformes, Salmonidae.
GGCCUAACAUGCUAUAUGUCUGUUCUCUCCUUCAUAUAGAAACAAGGUGCUGCUGGCCUAACAUCCUGUAUGUCUGUUCUCUCCUUCAUAUAGAAACAAGGUGCUGCUGGCCUAACAUUCUGCCUGUUCUCUCCUCCAUAUAGAAACAAGGUGCUGCUGGCCUAACAUCCUGUCUGUUCUCUCCUUCAUAUAGAAACAAGGUGCUGCUGGCCUAACAUCCUGUAUGUCUGUUCUCUCCUUCAUAUAGAAACAAGGUGCUGCUGGCCUAACAUCCUGUAUGUCUGUUCUCGCCUUCAUAUAGAAACAAGGUGCUGCUGGCCUAACAUUCUGCCUGUUCUCUCCUCCAUAUAGAAACAAGGUGCUGCUGGCCUAACAUCCUGUCUGUUCUCUCCGUCAUAUAGAAACAAGGUGCUGCUGGCCUAACAUCCUGUCUGUUCUCUCCUUCAUAUAGAAACAAGGUGCUGCUGGCCUAACAUCCUGUAUGUCUGUUCUCUCCUUCAUAUAGAAACAAGGUGCUGCUGGCCUAACAUCCUGUCUGUUCUCUCCGUCAUAUAGAAACAAGGUGCUGCUGGCCUAACAUCCUGUAUGUCUGUUCUCUCCUUCAUAUAGAAACAAGGUGCUGCUGGCCUAACAUCCUGUAUGUCUGUUCUCUCCUUCAUUUAGAAACAAGGUGCUGCUGGCCUAACAUCCUGUAUGUCUGUUCUCUCCUUCAUAUAGAAACAAUGUGCUGCUGGUCUAACAUCCUGUAUAUCUGUUCUCUCCUUCAUAUAGAAACAAGGUGCUGCUGGCCUAACAUCCUGUCUGUUCUCUCCUUCAUAUAGAAACAAGGUGCUGCUGGCCUAACAUCCUGUCUGUUCUCUCCUUCAUAUAGAAACAAGGUGCUGCUGGCCUAACAUCCUGUCUGUUCUCUCCUUCAUAUAGAAACAAGGUGCUGCUGGCCUAACAUCCUGUAUGUCUGUUCUCUCCUUCAUAUAGAAACAAGGUGCUGCUGGCCUAACAUGCUGUAUGUCUGUUCUCUCCUUCAUAUAGAAACAAGGUGCUGCUGGCCUAACAUCCUGUAUGUCUGUUCUCUCCUUCAUAUAGAAACAAGGUGCUGCUGGCCUAACAUCCUGUCUGUUCUCUCCGUCAUAUAGAAACAAGGUGCUGCUGGCCUAACAUCCUGUAUGUCUGUUCUCUCCUUCAUAUAGAAACAAGGUGCUGCUGGCCUAACAUCCUGUAUGUCUGUUCUCUCCUUCAUAUAGAAACAAGGUGCUGCUGGCCUAACAUCCUGUAUGUCUGUUCUCUCCUUCAUAUAGAAACAAGGUGCUGCUGGCCUAACAUCCUGUAUGUCUGUUCUCUCCUUCAUAUAGAAACAAGGUGCUGCUGGCCUAACAUCCUGUAUGUCUGUUCUCUCCUUCAUAUAGAAACAAGGUGCUGCUGGCCUAACAUCCUGUCUGUUCUCUCCUUCAUAUAGAAACAAGGUGCUGCUGGCCUAACAUCCUGUAUGUCUGUUCUCUCCUUCAUAUAGAAACAAGGUGCUGCUGGCCUAACAUCCUGUCUGUUCUCUCCUUCAUAUAGAAACAAGGUGCUGCUGGCCUAACAUCCUGUCUGUUCUCUCCUUCAUAUAGAAACAAGGUGCUGCUGGCCUAACAUCCUGUCUGUUCUCUCCUUCAUAUAGAAACAAGGUGCUGCUGGCCUAACAUCCUGUAUGUCUGUUCUCUCCUUCAUAUAGAAACAAGGUGCUGCUGGCCUAACAUGCUGUAUGUCUGUUCUCUCCUUCAUAUAGAAACAAGGUGCUGCUGGCCUAACAUCCUGUAUGUCUGUUCUCUCCUUCAUAUAGAAACAAGGUGCUGCUGGCCUAACAUCCUGUAUGUCUGUUCUCUCCUUCAUAUAGAAACAAGGUGCUGCUGGCCUAACAUCCUGUCUGUUCUCUCCUUCAUAUAGAAACAAGGUGCUGCUGGCCUAACAUCCUGUAUGUCUGUUCUCUCCUUCAUAUAGAAACAAGGUGCUGCUGGCCUAACAUCCUGUAUGUCUGUUCUCUCCUUCAUAUAGAAACAAGGUGCUGCUGGCCUAACAUCCUGUCUGUUCUCUCCUUCAUAUAGAAACAAGGUGCUGCUGGCCUAACAUCCUGUCUGUUCUCUCCUUCAUAUAGAAACAAGGUGCUGCUGGCCUAACAUCCUGUAUGUCUGUUCUCUCCUUCAUAUAGAAACAAGGUGCUGCUGGCCUAACAUCCUGUAUGUCUGUUCUCUCCUUCAUAUAGAAACAAGGUGCUGCUGGCCUAACAUCCUGUCUGUUCUCUCCUUCAUAUAGAAACAAGGUGCUGCUGGCCUAACAUCCUGUAUGUCUGUUCUCUCCUUCAUAUAGAAACAAGGUGCUGCUGGCCUAACAUCCUGUAUGUCUGUUCUCUCCUUCAUAUAGAAACAAGGUGCUGCUGGCCUAACCUCCUGUAUGUCUGUUCUCUCCUUCAUAUAGAAACAAGGUGCUGCUGGCCUAACAUCCUGUAUGUCUGUUCUCUCCUUCAUAUAGAAACAAGGUGCUGCUGGCCUAACCUCCUGUAUGUCUGUUCUCUCCUUCAUAUAGAAACAAGGUGCUGCUGGCCUAACCUCCUGUAUGUCUGUUCUCUCCUUCAUAUAGAAACAAGGUGCUGCUGGCCUAACCUCCUGUAUGUCUGUUCUCUCCUUCAUAUAGAAACAAGGUGCUGCUGGCCUAACCUCCUGUAUGUCUGUUCUCUCCUUCAUAUAGAAACAAGGUGCUGCUGGCCUAACCUCCUGUAUGUCUGUUCUCUCCUUCAUAUAGAAACAAGGUGCUGCUGGCCUAACCUCCUGUAUGUCUGUUCUCUCCUUCAUAUAGAAACAAGGUGCU